CCCUUAGAUGUCCGGGGCUGCACGCGCGCUACAAUGGUCGGAGCAGAAUGAAAAGAGACGGCUCCGCGAGGCGGGAGCGUCCUUCGGGGCCUCCCGUUCUUAAUGGUUGACCGUUCCCCGGGUCGACGGGCCCGGGAGAUCGGCUGGAAUCUCGAUCGUGAUCGGGACAGAGUCUUGUAAUUGUUACUCUCAAACGAGGAAUUCCUAGUAGGCGCGAGUCAUGACCUCGCGUCGACUGCGUCCCUGCCCUUUGUACACACCGCCCGUCGCUACUACCGAUUGAAUGCUCAGGUGAGCCAUUCGGACUUUCAUCAUGCUGGUUUCCAGUUUUGAUGAAGGAAAGUCUUGCGAACCUUAUCAUUUAGAGGAAGGAGAAGUCGUAACA
RNAcentral lists this ribosomal RNA (385 nucleotides) under uncultured eukaryote. RNAcentral describes it as "partial 18S ribosomal RNA". It matches the Rfam family "Eukaryotic small subunit ribosomal RNA", at positions 1470 to 1796 of the family's 1831-position model. The record is from RNAcentral.